UACGGAGGGUGCAAGCGUUAUCCGGAUUUACUGGGUUUAAAGGGUGCGUAGGCGGGCCAUUAAGUCAGUGGUGAAAGCUCCGAGCUUAACUCGGAAACUGCCAUUGAUACUAUUGGUCUUGAAUUCGGUCGAGGUUGGCGGAAUGUGUCGUGUAGCGGUGAAAUGCUUAGAUAUGACACAGAGCACCGAUUGCGAAGGCAGCUAGCUAGACCGACAUUGACGCUGAGGCACGAAAGCGUGGGGAUCAAACAGG
This 253-nucleotide ribosomal RNA is filed under the name uncultured bacterium. RNAcentral describes it as "partial 16S ribosomal RNA". It matches the Rfam family "Bacterial small subunit ribosomal RNA", at positions 524 to 776 of the family's 1533-position model. The record is from RNAcentral.